GACGAACGCUGGCGGCGUGCUUAACACAUGCAAGUCGAACGAAGAGCGAUGGAAGCUUGCUUCUAUCAAUCUUAGUGGCGAACGGGUGAGUAACGCGUAAUCAACCUGCCCUUCAGAGGGGGACAACAGUUGGAAACGACUGCUAAUACCGCAUACGAUCUAAUCUCGGCAUCGAGGAUAGAUGAAAGGUGGCCUCUACAUGUAAGCUAUCACUGAAGGAGGGGAUUGCGUCUGAUUAGCUAGUUGGAGGGGUAACGUACCACCAAGGCGAUGAUCAGUAGCCGGUCUGAGAGGAUGAACGGCCACAUUGGGACUGAGACACGGCCCAGACUCCUACGGGAGGCAGCAGUGGGGAAUCUUCCGCAAUGGACGAAAGUCUGACGGAGCAACGCCGCGUGAGCGAUGACGGCCUUCGGGUUGUAAAGCUCUGUUAAUCGGGACGAAAGGCCUUCUUGCGAAUAGUGAGAAGGAUUGACGGUACCGGAAUAGAAAGCCACGGCUAACUACGU
This 509-nucleotide ribosomal RNA is filed under the name uncultured bacterium. RNAcentral describes it as "partial 16S ribosomal RNA". It matches the Rfam family "Bacterial small subunit ribosomal RNA", at positions 28 to 506 of the family's 1533-position model. The record is from RNAcentral.